Molecule: ribosomal RNA, 303 nt
Filed under: uncultured bacterium
Lineage: Bacteria
Description: partial 16S ribosomal RNA
Rfam family: Bacterial small subunit ribosomal RNA
Source: RNAcentral
AGCAGUAGCCACGGUAAUACGUAGGGGGCAAGCGUUAUCCGGAAUUACUGGGUGUAAAGGGAGCGUAGACGGUUAAACAAGUCUGAAGUGAAAUGCCGGGGCUCAACCCCGGAGCUGCUUUGGGAACUGUAGAACUGGAGUGUCGGAGGGGUAAGCGGAAUUCCCAGUGUAGCAGUGAAAUGCGUAGAUAUUGGGAGGGACACCGGCGGCGAAGGCGGCUUACUGGACGACAACUGACGUUGAGGCUCGAAGGCGUGGGUAGCAGACAGGAUUAGAGACCCGUGUAGUCCCUGUCUCUUAUAC